Molecule: ribosomal RNA, 468 nt
Filed under: uncultured bacterium
Lineage: Bacteria
Description: partial 16S ribosomal RNA
Rfam family: Bacterial small subunit ribosomal RNA
Source: RNAcentral
GACGAACGCUGGCGGCGUGCUUAACACAUGCAAGUCGAACGGAAAGGCCCUGCUUUUGUGGGGUGCUCGAGUGGCGAACGGGUGAGUAACACGUGAGUAACCUGCCCUUGACUUUGGGAUAACUUCAGGAAACUGGGGCUAAUACCGGAUAGGAGCUCCUGCUGCAUGGUGGGGGUUGGAAAGUUUCGGCGGUUGGGGAUGGACUCGCGGCUUAUCAGCUUGUUGGUGGGGUAGUGGCUUACCAAGGCUUUGACGGGUAGCCGGCCUGAGAGGGUGACCGGCCACCUUGGGACUGCGGUACGGCCCAGACUCCUACGGGAGGCAGCAGUGGGGAAUAUUGCACAAUGGGCGGAAGCCUGAUGCAGCAACGCCGCGUGCGGGAUGACGGCCUUCGGGUUGUAAACCGCUUUCGCCUGUGACGAAGCGUGAGUGACGGUAAUGGGUAAAGAAGCACCGGCUAACUACGUG